AUAAUUUAAAGGGCCGCGGUAUUCUGACCGUGCAAAGGUAGCAUAAUCGUUAGUUUUUUAAUUGGAAUCUUGUAUGAAUGGUUGGACAAAAGAAAGUCUGUCUCUGUAUUAUUAGUUGAAUUUAACUUUUGAGUGAAAAGGCUUAAAUGAAUUAAAGGGACGAUAAGACCCUAUAAAGCAUUAUAUUGGGGCGAUAAUAGUAAAAAGAUUAACUGCUUAAUUUUUAAUACAAAUAUAAAUGAAAUGAUCCUAAUUAAAGAUUAAAAGUUUAAGUUACUUUAGGGAUAACAGCGUUAUUUUUUUUGAGAGUUCUUAUCGAAAAAAAAGUUUGCGACCUCGAUGUUGAAUCAAAAUAUCUAUAUAAUUGCAGAAGUUAUAUAAGAAGGUCUGUUCGACCUUUAAAUUUUU
RNAcentral lists this ribosomal RNA (408 nucleotides) under Gecarcoidea lalandii. Its description in RNAcentral is "partial 16S large subunit ribosomal RNA". It matches the Rfam family "Bacterial large subunit ribosomal RNA", at positions 1918 to 2597 of the family's 2925-position model. The record is from RNAcentral. Lineage: Eukaryota; Metazoa; Arthropoda; Malacostraca; Decapoda; Gecarcinidae.